UGGCAUGCCCGUGAACCGUUUUUUGACUCGGAUAAUUUCAGUACUCGCUUCCGGCUCGCUUCCGGCUCGCCUUCAGCUCGUCCUGAAAUCUUCAUCCUUGCCAAAAAAACAGGCGGUUUACGGGCAUGCCACAUAAAUAGCUAUUAUAAAUACAUCAAAAUGUGGAAAC
This is a long non-coding RNA of Neodiprion virginianus, 169 nucleotides long. RefSeq lists it as uncharacterized. The record is from RefSeq and is a predicted model, not a curated record. NCBI's taxonomy places the organism in Eukaryota, Metazoa, Arthropoda, Insecta, Hymenoptera, Diprionidae. The transcript is spliced from 4 exons.